Molecule: ribosomal RNA, 747 nt
Filed under: uncultured bacterium
Lineage: Bacteria
Description: bacterial SSU rRNA
Rfam family: Bacterial small subunit ribosomal RNA
Source: RNAcentral
GAGUUUGAUCAUGGCUCAGAUUGAACGCUGGCGGCAUGCCUUACACAUGCAAGUCGAACGGCAGCACGGGAGCAAUCCUGGUGGCGAGUGGCGAACGGGUGAGUAAAGUAUCGGAACGUACCUUUCAGUGGGGGAUAACGUAGCGAAAGUUACGCUAAUACCGCAUAUUCUGUGAGCAGGAAAGCAGGGGAUCGCAAGACCUUGCGCUGAUUGAGCGGCCGAUAUCAGAUUAGCUAGUUGGUGAGGUAAAGGCUCACCAAGGCGACGAUCUGUAGCGGGUCUGAGAGGAUGACCCGCCACACUGGAACUGAGACACGGUCCAGACUCCUACGGGAGGCAGCAGUGGGGAAUUUUGGACAAUGGGGGCAACCCUGAUCCAGCCAUGCCGCGUGAGUGAAGAAGGCCUUCGGGUUGUAAAGCUCUUUCGGCCGGGAAGAAAUCGCAUGGGCUAAUACCCUGUGUGGAUGACGGUACCGGAAUAAGAAGCACCGGCUAACUACGUGCCAGCAGCCGCGGUAAUACGUAGGGUGCGAGCGUUAAUCGGAAUUACUGGGCGUAAAGCGUGCGCAGGCGGUUUAGUAAGACAGGCGUGAAAUCCCCGGGCUCAACCUGGGAACUGCGCUUGUGACUGCUAAGCUAGAGUACGGCAGAGGGGGGUGGGAUUCCACGUGUAGCAGUGAAAUGCGUAGAGAUGUGGAGGAACACCCGAUGCGAAGGCAGCCCCCUGGGCCGAUACUGACGCUCAUG